Molecule: ribosomal RNA, 513 nt
Filed under: uncultured bacterium
Lineage: Bacteria
Description: bacterial SSU rRNA
Rfam family: Bacterial small subunit ribosomal RNA
Source: RNAcentral
AACGCUGGCGGCGUGCUUAACACAUGCAAGCNAAGGAGAAAGGAAAUCUUCGGAAUUCCGAGUAAACUGGCGGACGGGUGAGUAACACGUAGGUAACCUGCCCAUAAGACUGGGAUAACCUUGCUAACGCGGGGCUAAUACCGGAUAAUAUUUUUUUAACACAUGUUAAAGAAAUCAAAGCUGCCUUCGGGUAGUACUUGUGGAUGGACCUGCGCCCCAUUAGCUAGUUGGUGAGGUAACGGCUCACCAAGGCGACGAUGGGUAGCCGGCCUGAGAGGGUGACCGGCCACACUGGGACUGAGGUACGGCCCAGACUCCUACGGGAGGCAGCAGUGAGGAAUAUUGCGCAAUGGGCGAAAGCCUGACGCAGCAACGCCGCGUGGAUGAUGAAGCUCUAAGGAGUGUAAAGAUCUGUCGUGAGGGAAGAAAAGUUUGGAUGUGAAUAAUGUUCAUUCUAGACGGUACCUCACAAGAAAGCACCGGCUAACUUCGUGCCAGCAGCCGCGGUAAUAC